Molecule: ribosomal RNA, 465 nt
Filed under: Vreelandella stevensii
Lineage: Bacteria; Pseudomonadati; Pseudomonadota; Gammaproteobacteria; Oceanospirillales; Halomonadaceae
Description: partial 16S ribosomal RNA
Rfam family: Bacterial small subunit ribosomal RNA
Source: RNAcentral
CCUACGGGCGGCAGCAGUGGGGAAUAUUGGACAAUGGGGGGAACCCUGAUCCAGCCAUGCCGCGUGUGUGAAGAAGGCCCUCGGGUUGUAAAGCACUUUCAGUGAGGAAGAACGCCUGGUGGUUAAUACCCAUCAGGAAAGACAUCACUCACAGAAGAAGCCUCGGCUAACUCCGUGCCAGCAGCCGCGGUAAUACGGAGGGUGCGAGCGUUAAUCGGAAUUACUGGGCGUAAAGCGCGCGUAGGUGGCUUGAUAAGCCGGUUGUGAAAGCCCCGGGCUCAACCUGGGAACGGCAUCCGGAACUGUCAAGCUAGAGUGCAGGAGAGGAAGGUAGAAUUCCCGGUGUAGCGGUGAAAUGCGUAGAGAUCGGGAGGAAUACCAGUGGCGAAGGCGGCCUUCUGGACUAACACUGACACUGAGGUGCGAAAGCGUGGGUAGCAAACAGGAUUAGAUACCCGGGUAGUC